CUCUCGGUGGCCAAGUUGGUUUAAGGCGUCAGACUGUAAAUCUGAACAUCGGGCGUUCGAAUCGCCCCCGAGAGA
The sequence is a transfer RNA, 75 nucleotides long. It matches the Rfam family "tRNA". Rfam says of the family: Transfer RNA (tRNA) molecules are approximately 80 nucleotides in length. Their secondary structure includes four short double-helical elements and three loops (D, anti-codon, and T loops). Further hydrogen bonds mediate the characteristic L-shaped molecular structure. tRNAs have two regions of fundamental functional importance: the anti-codon, which is responsible for specific mRNA codon recognition, and the 3' end, to which the tRNAs corresponding amino acid is attached (by aminoacyl-tRNA synthetases). tRNAs cope with the degeneracy of the genetic code in two manners: having more than one tRNA (with a specific anti-codon) for a particular amino acid; and 'wobble' base-pairing, i.e. permitting non-standard base-pairing at the 3rd anti-codon position.